UCGUACAAAAUGUGAGGGGCAUGUGAGGGCUGUCGCUGACUCAAUGUCGUGCACGCCCGAGCGUGUCCUCUCACAUAAUAAUCCAUCUCACCCUUUGUGCAUCGCCGCGUGGGCACCCUUUGGGAUCAUCUCGGAGGGGGCUCGCGUUUUCACACAAACCCCCCUUUGAAAAGUGUAGAAUGUCCUCAUUUAUGCAAUCAAUA
Molecule: unclassified non-coding RNA, 203 nt
Filed under: uncultured Lactarius
Lineage: Eukaryota; Fungi; Basidiomycota; Agaricomycetes; Russulales; Russulaceae
Description: sequence contains ITS1
Source: RNAcentral